Molecule: ribosomal RNA, 253 nt
Filed under: uncultured bacterium
Lineage: Bacteria
Description: partial 16S ribosomal RNA
Rfam family: Bacterial small subunit ribosomal RNA
Source: RNAcentral
UACAGAGGGUGCGAGCGUUAAUCGGAGUUACUGGGCGUAAAGGGCGCGUAGGCGGUCAAUUAAGUUGGAUGUGAAAUCCCUGGGCUUAACCUAGGAACUGCAUACAAUACUGAAUGACUAGAAUACUGUAGAGGGUAGUGGAAUUUCCGGUGUAGCGGUGAAAUGCGUAGAGAUCGGAAGGAACACCAGUGGCGAAGGCGGCUACCUGGACAGAUAUUGACGCUGAGGCGCGAAAGCGUGGGGAGCAAACAGG